AUCUAGUGGAUUAAAGGUGGCUUUUGGGCUGUCGCAGAUGGAUGAGCCUGCGUUGGAUUAGCUAGUUGGUGGGGUAAGGGCCUACCAAGGCUACGAUCCAUAGCUGAUUUGAGAGGAUGAUCAGCCACAUUGGGACUGAGACACGGCCCAAACUCCUACGGGAGGCAGCAGUGAGGAAUAUUGGACAAUGGGGGCAACCCUGAUCCAGCAAUGCCAUGUGUGUGAAGAAGGCCUUAGGGUUGUAAAGCACUUUAGUUGGGGAAGAAAGCUUUGAGGUUAAUAGCCUUGAGGAAAAGGACGUUACCCAAAGAAUAAGCACCGGCUAACUCCGUGCCAGCAGCCGCGGUAAUACGGGGGGUGCAAGCGUUAAUCGGAAUUACUGGGCGUAAAGGGUCUGUAGGUGGUUUGUUAAGUCAGAUGUGAAAGCCUAGGGCUCAACCUUGGAACUGCAUUUGAUACUGGUAAACUAGAGUACGGUAGAGGAAUGGGGAAUUUCUGGUGUAGCGGUGAAAUGCGUAGAGAUCAGAAGGAACACCAAUGGCGAAGGCAACAUUCUGGACCGAUACUGACACUGAGGGACGAAAGCGUGGGGAUCAAACAGGAUUAGAUACCCUGGUAGUCCACGCUGUAAACGAUGAGUACUAGCUGUUGGAGUCGGUGUAAAGGCUCUAGUGGCGCAGCUAACGCGAUAAGUACUCCGCCUGGGGACUACGGCCGCAAGGCUAAAACUCAAAGGAAUUGACGGGGACCCGCACAAGCGGUGGAGCAUGUAGUUUAAUUCGAUGCAACGCGAAGAACCUUACCUGGUCUUGACAUCCUGCGAUCUUUCUAGAGAUAGAUUGGUGCCUUCGGGAACGCAGUGACAGGUGCUGCACGGCUGUCGUCAGCUCGUGUUGUGAAAUGUUGGGUUAAGUCCCGCAACGAGCGCAACCCCUAUUGAUAGUUACCAUCAUUAAUUUGGGUACUCUAUUAGACUGCCGCUGACAGGCGGAGAA
This 995-nucleotide ribosomal RNA is filed under the name Francisella endosymbiont of Dermacentor andersoni. Its description in RNAcentral is "bacterial SSU rRNA". It matches the Rfam family "Bacterial small subunit ribosomal RNA", at positions 191 to 1170 of the family's 1533-position model. Lineage: Bacteria; Pseudomonadati; Pseudomonadota; Gammaproteobacteria; Thiotrichales; Francisellaceae. The record is from RNAcentral.